This 411-nucleotide long non-coding RNA is filed under the name Anas platyrhynchos platyrhynchos (common mallard). RNAcentral's name for it is "lncRNA (ENSAPLG00000021522.1)". The record is from RNAcentral. Lineage: Eukaryota; Metazoa; Chordata; Aves; Anseriformes; Anatidae.
CUGAAGAUUUAAAUAUCAGAUUAAUGUUCUCAUAGGCUGUAAAUAACUACUGGAUUUCUCCUUCUCCAGAUAGAUGACUAUACACCAUAGACGACUUUACAAAUUAUGGACAUAUUGCAUGGUGGAUGACUUGUGAUUUUCAAGAAGAGAAAUCCAAACUGUGAUUUCUACAAGGCCCCAGUAAAAAGUCAUGAUCUCCAAGGAAGCGACUGACUGAACCUUCAGAACCAGCUGUUUGAUGACCUGUAAGAGGAGUCCUCCAAAUGGAAAUUUGAGAGCUGGAACAGUCUGCAAUGGAGAGUGAUUUUCCUCAGGAGUGAUGUGAGGAAAGCGAACUCCACAAUCAGUAAGAUUGUAAAACUUUACCUCCCACUGGAUCAUCAUAUUUCUUGCUUUCAUCAGCCAUCCCUG